RNAcentral lists this ribosomal RNA (382 nucleotides) under uncultured eukaryote. RNAcentral describes it as "partial 18S ribosomal RNA". It matches the Rfam family "Eukaryotic small subunit ribosomal RNA", at positions 592 to 976 of the family's 1831-position model. The record is from RNAcentral.
CAAUAGCGUAUAUUAAAGUUGUUGCAGUUAAAAAGCUCGUAGUUGGAUUUCUGGUUGGAGCGACCGGUCGGGCGUUGAUUCGUCUGCACUGGAGUCGGUUUUGGCCAUCCUCUAGGAAAGUGCGUCUGGUAUUAAGUUAUCGGGCGUAUGAUCCUGGUCUUUUACUGUGAAAAAAUUAGAGUGUUUAAAGCAGGCCUUCGCCUUGAAUACAUUAGCAUGGAAUAAUAAGAUAGGACUUUGGUCUAUUUUGUUGGUUUGCAGACCGAAGUAAUGAUUAAUAGGGAUAGUUGGGGGUAUUUAUAUUCCGAUGUCAGAGGUGAAAUUCUUAGAUUUUCGGAAGAUAAACUUAUGCGAAAGCAUUUACCAAGGAUGUUUUCAUUAA